Molecule: ribosomal RNA, 425 nt
Filed under: uncultured bacterium
Lineage: Bacteria
Description: bacterial SSU rRNA
Rfam family: Bacterial small subunit ribosomal RNA
Source: RNAcentral
GUGGGGAAUAUUGGGCAAUGGGCGAAAGCCUGACCCAGCAACGCCGCGUGAAGGAAGAAGGUCUUCGGAUUGUAAACUUUUGUCUUAUGGGACGAUAAUGACGGUACCAUAGGAGGAAGCCACGACUAACUACGUGCCAGCAGUCGCGGUAAUACGUAGGUGGCGAGCGUUAUCCGGAAUUAUUGGGUGUAAAGGGUGCGUAGGCGGGAUGUAAAGUCAGAUGUGAAAUGCCGCGGCUCAACCGCGGAGCUGCAUUUGAAACUUAUGUUCUUGAGUGAAGUAGAGGUAAGCGGAAUUCCUAGUGUAGCGGUGAAAUGCGUAGAUAUUAGGAGGAACACCGGUGGCGAAGGCGGCUUACUGGGCUUAGACUGACGCUGAGGCACGAAAGUGUGGGGAGCAAACAGGAUUAGAAACCCGAGUAGUCC